AUCUAUGUUGUUCACACUAACUUAAAUUCUGUUCACACAGGUAUUUAACAUGUUCACACAAAUAGCAUUAAAAUCCAGUUCAUGCUUGAAGAUGGUACAUGAAUUGGCCGAACCAUCAUGAUGCUUCACUUGAUGCAUUCAUGCAUCCUUAGCCUUGAAGAAUCUCCAUAAUUCCAUGAAUGUGCAGCUCUUUAAUGAUCCUACAUCUCUCUUGGCUGAAUGAGGCAUUAAUGUGCCUAAAAUACUUGAAUGGUCAUCUUGAAAAUGCAUGAAUCAUGCAUGAAACGUCCCAUGUAUUUUCCCCCAUAAAUAUGAUCCAUGAAUCUUCAAAUACAUGAACUUUCAGCAACUCCCUCUUGCAUGAACGUCCCAAAUGCAUGUGCUCCUUUAAAUGCCAUCCAUUGAACCUCAAUUGUGCAUGCACACUCCCAUACAUUGCACCAAUCCGUUCAUGAACCUGUAGCAAAUUAAAUCAGCAAGUUAAAUGCAUUUCAAACACAUUAAAUUAGCAGCAUAUGAACUCAAUAAUUUGCACAUUAAAUUUGGCCAUACAUAUUAACAAUUUUAGACAUAUUUAAAACAUCAUAAUUAAUUAAGUAUUUAAUUUAGAUAUAAUUAAAACACUUAAUUAAUUAUUUGUCCAGAUUUUAACAAAUUAAUUAACUGAAAAUAAACAACUAAUUCAACUAAAGACAAAUUAAAUGGUUUAUUUCAGCAAAAUAAAUUCAAGCUAAAAAUAAGCUCAUUGGGUUAAGAUUGAGCUGAAUUGAGCUUGAGUGAGUUGACUUGAGCUCGAGUGAGCUGGAAACGAGCUAAACGGAGCUUAACUAAAUGAAAUUGAACUAAUUUAGCUCGCAUGGAUUUGCAAACAAUGCUUAGGGAGCUGAUCCAAAAGUGUGCCCGGGGCAUGGUCGUAUCAAGGUGGUUUGAUGGUUUCCAAUGAAACAAGAAUGAACCCCUUUUAGCAAAUAAGGACCCAGGCUUAAAGGUUUCAAAGAAAGAAAAGAAAUUAGGAUAAAAACUGAGACCCUCUAUUUAGCAAAAUAGGAACCUACGGUAUGAAGAACGCCACACCUAAUGGCGAUAAGUUCGAAACAAAGUCAGAUUGACGCCACUUGUGAAGAUAAGUCAAUUGAGCUUUGGAGAAUAAGGAGAGUGAAUUAACUCACCAAAAAUAUAAUUCAUUCAAAA
RNAcentral lists this long non-coding RNA (1191 nucleotides) under Gossypium barbadense (sea-island cotton). Its description in RNAcentral is "long non-coding RNA (GBAR_LNC015520)". Lineage: Eukaryota; Viridiplantae; Streptophyta; Magnoliopsida; Malvales; Malvaceae. The record is from RNAcentral.